This 20-nucleotide unclassified non-coding RNA is filed under the name Mus musculus (house mouse). RNAcentral describes it as "oocyte_clustered_small_RNA10398". Lineage: Eukaryota; Metazoa; Chordata; Mammalia; Rodentia; Muridae. The record is from RNAcentral.
UCUCGGAUUUGAGUGUGGAG